RNAcentral lists this ribosomal RNA (505 nucleotides) under uncultured bacterium. RNAcentral describes it as "partial 16S ribosomal RNA". It matches the Rfam family "Bacterial small subunit ribosomal RNA", at positions 355 to 853 of the family's 1533-position model. The record is from RNAcentral.
UGGGGAAUUUUGGACAAUGGGCGAAAGCCUGAUCCAGCAAUGCCGCGUGUGUGAAGAAGGCCUUCGGGUUGUAAAGCACUUUUGUCCGGAAAGAAAUCCUUGGCUCUAAUACAGUCGGGGGAUGACGGUACCGGAAGAAUAAGCACCGGCUAACUACGUGCCAGCAGCCGCGGUAAUACGUAGGGUGCAAGCGUUAAUCGGAAUUACUGGGCGUAAAGCGUGCGCAGGCGGUUUGCUAAGACCGAUGCGAAAUCCCCGGGCUCAACCUGGGAACUGCAUUGGUGACUGGCAGGCUAGAGUAUGGCAGAGGGGGGUAGAAUUCCACGUGUAGCAGUGAAAUGCGUAGAGAUGUGGAGGAAUACCGAUGGCGAAGGCAGCCCCCUGGGCCAAUACUGACGUUCAUGCACGAAAGCGUGGGGAGCAAACAGGAUUAGAUACCCUGGUAGUCCACGCCCUAAACGAUGUCAACUAGUUGUUGGGGAUUCAUUUCCUUAGUAACGUAGCU